UAUCCUGCUGUCCAUGUCAGCUGAAAAUUUUCUUAGUUUGACAUGUAAUGUAACUCAUUCAAAUAGAUAAAACUAGAGCUCCGAAAAUAAGUAGUGUUGGAAUCAACUCACUGUCAAUAACAGAAGUCGCAGAUAGACGAGUCAAUAUUUCAGAGGAAAUAAUCCAAGAACCUGAUCAAGGAGGAUUAUCUAGAUGUUCAG
RNAcentral lists this long non-coding RNA (201 nucleotides) under Elaeis guineensis (African oil palm). RNAcentral describes it as "long non-coding RNA (EGUI_LNC022722)". Lineage: Eukaryota; Viridiplantae; Streptophyta; Magnoliopsida; Arecales; Arecaceae. The record is from RNAcentral.